GACGAACCGUGCAAACGUUAUUCGGAAUCACUGGGCUUAAAGCGCGUGUAGGCGGGACGGCACGUCGGUCGCUGAAAGCCCCCGGCUCAACCGGGGAAUGGGCGCCGAUACGACCGUCCUGGAGGAACGUAGGGGGACCUGGAACUUCCGGUGGAGCGGUGAAAUGCGUUGAGAUCGGAAGGAACGCCCGUGGCGAAAGCGAGGUCCUGGACGUUUUCUGACGCUGAGACGCGAAAGCCAGGGUAGCGAACGGG
This 254-nucleotide ribosomal RNA is filed under the name uncultured bacterium. RNAcentral's name for it is "partial 16S ribosomal RNA". It matches the Rfam family "Bacterial small subunit ribosomal RNA", at positions 524 to 776 of the family's 1533-position model. The record is from RNAcentral.